Molecule: ribosomal RNA, 1033 nt
Filed under: uncultured bacterium
Lineage: Bacteria
Description: bacterial SSU rRNA
Rfam family: Bacterial small subunit ribosomal RNA
Source: RNAcentral
AAUGGGCGGGAGCCUGAACCAGCCAAGCCGCGUGAGGGAAGAAGGUACAGCGUAUCGUAACCCUCCCCCCUCAGGGAACAAAGGCAGGGACUAGUCCCCGGAUGAGGGUACCUGAAGAAAAAGCAUCGGCUAACUCCGUGCCAGCAGCCGCGGUAAUACGGAGGAUGCGAGCGUUAUCCGGAUUUAUUGGGUUUAAAGGGUGCGCAGGCGGCCUGUUAAGUCAGCGGUAAAAGCCCGGGGCUCAACCCCGGCGAGCCGUUGAAACUGGCGGGCUGGAGUUGGAGAGAAGUACGCGGAAUGCGCGGUGUAGCGGUGAAAUGCUUAGAUAUCGCGCAGAACCCCGAUUGCGAAGGCAGCGUACCGGCUCCACACUGACGCUGAGGCACGAAAGCGUGGGUAUCGAACAGGAUUAGAUACCCUGGUAGUCCACGCAGUAAACGAUGAAUGCUUGCUGUCCGGGCAGAGAUAUGCCUGGGGGGCGAAGCGAAAGCGAUAAGCAUUCCACCUGGGGAGUACGCCGGCAACGGUGAAACUCAAAGGAAUUGACGGGGGCCCGCACAAGCGGAGGAACAUGUGGUUUAAUUCGAUGAUACGCGAGGAACCUUACCCGGGCUCAAACGGGAGACGGCAGGGGCAGAGACGCCCCUUUCCCUCGGGACGUCUUCCGAGGUGCUGCAUGGUUGUCGUCAGCUCGUGCCGUGAGGUGUCGGCUUAAGUGCCAUAACGAGCGCAACCCCCGCGUGCAGUUGCCAGCAGGAAAGGCUGGGGACUCUGCACGGACUGCCGGCGCAAGCCGCGAGGAAGGCGGGGAUGACGUCAAAUCAGCACGGCCCUUACGUCCGGGGCGACACACGUGUUACAAUGGGGGGUACAGCGGGAAGCCAGGCGGCGACGCCGAGCGGAACCCGAAAGCCCCUCUCAGUUCGGAUCGGAGUCUGCAACCCGACUCCGUGAAGCUGGAUUCGCUAGUAAUCGCGCAUCAGCCAUGGCGCGGUGAAUACGUUCCCGGGCCUUGCACACACCGCCCGUCAAG